UCCCUUUCUGCGGCCGCCCCGAACUCUUCCGUCACCGUUCCAAUCCGAAGGCUCUUCCUCCGCGUUUCUUCUCCUCUCCGCUCUCUCUCUCUCUCUCUUUCACUUCUUAUUAGGUUUAGGGCUUCUUUCCCCGUCUCUCUCUCUCUCUCUCUCCAUCUCUCUCCCUCUCGCUCCUUUCAAACAAUCUCCUAAGCGCCUUCCGUAUCUCUGCGUAAUUUGCCGCGCCUGAUCUUGUCGCUCUCGUUUUUUCCUCGGUUCGAUCAGGGUUUCUAUCCGUUUAUAGGGUUCUAUAGGGUCCUUGAGAAGGAGAGACCAGCUGAUUCUGAUCGUUUAAUUUUGUCGACAGAGUGGUUGAUUUAGAAGGGUUUGUUGGUGUAGAUGCCUCGGACGUUGUCUCGGUCUCCCUCCCACCGGAGAAGGCGGUCUCCGUCUCCGCGGUACAGCAGCAGGAGAAGCAGAAGAGAUCGCAGCCGAUCUCCUUAUUCUUAUAGGUGAUAUUGCUUGUCAAAAACUUGGCCAUUUAUUUUCUUUUCUACCUCAAACUUCAUUUGUAGAUUUAUUCUUUAUAUGCAAGGUCUAAUAAAUCAUGGCUUGGGAGAUCCCUCAACUCGUCCCUCUUUUGUAAUUUCAUAUUGUAGUGGGCUGAAGAAUCAAGUGGAACCAAAGUCUGUUUCAUCUUCGUAAGAGACUGGUAGAUUGUUGGGGUCGCAUUUCCAAAUUCACUUUCUCAAUUUCUUUGAGUUAGGAAUUUGGGAAUGAACUUCGUUAAUUUUGUUGUUGUUACUGAAUUGGCGAACUCCACAUUUUUAGUUCUAAACAUAGAAAGGAAAAGAUUACUACUGAUUUUUUUUUUUAUUUUUAUUUUUUUGUUUCUUUGCCUAAUAAAACCAUACGAAAUUAAAGAGGACCAUCGGAAGGUCUUGAAAUCAAAGAACUAGAUUAGAAAACUAAAACAUAAAAUGUAAAUAAGGAAGGCAUUCAAUCGAUCUAUUAAGAAAAGUAAAUCUUUGGUUCAUUUAGACACUCAUAUGUGUGUAGCCUUUGAAAAGAAUGUUUAUAUGAUGAGGAUAAGAAGAGCAUGGAAAAACAAAGAAUUUUUUACAAAUGAGGAUUAGAUAUCUCUUGAAUAAUUAAUAGUGGCCAAGAGGUUAGGCAUCUUGUUGUUUAUUUAGAUUUUUUCCCCCCCUUAGAACUAGGCUUCUUAUAUGUUGCAACUGCUUAUGAUUUAGACAAUUGAGACUGUAUUUGUUUAAACUUUUAGAAAGUUAUUAUUUUUAGAUAUGUUUAUUGCUUGCCUAAGCCAUUAGGUGUUUUACCUCAUGAUUUAACUUUUCUGAAGUUAGCUCUAGAUAUGUUUUUUGCUUGUCUAAGUCAUUGAGAAGUUUGCCUAAAUGCCUAGGUGGUUAGGGGGUCCGUGUACCUGCAGACCGUGCCAACUAGUUGAUUGCCUGACCAGCACAAGAAUCUUGCAUCAUUGAAGACAUUACGGGAGACGAAACUAUAUAAAUUUGAUUGUAUAUUAGAGGGCUAAAGUUGUGACAUCCUAGGAUUUAGAAUAGUCUUAUAUAUGAAAUACAUUAGGGAUAAAUUUCUUAGCCCGACUAUAGCAUUUUUGGCGGUGACUAGGCACAAGAGGUUACGAGGGUUAAGCGUGCUAGGACUAGAAUAGUUCUAGGAUGGGUGACUCACGCGUGAGUGAGGCGUCACAGUUGGUAUCAAAGCCAAUCACUAGCCGAAAAUGUGAGAUGAGUUCCGGCUGAGCUAAGGUCAUACAACGGUAGAGCACGACUCCUUGGCUGACCAGCGUUGUGGGUGUAGCGUGGCUCUCCACAAGAUCUGCUAAGGCUAUCGAGACGAGUCUUACAUCGCCUGGUGCCUGUGUGUGUGCUUGAGUCUAACGAGGACAUUAGAACUUAAAGGGGGAAAAAUGUGACACCCUAGGAUUUGGAAUAGUCUUAUGUAUGAGAUAUAAUAGGGCAAAACCGCUUAACUCGAUUAUAACAUUUUGGAUUGUGGCUAGUCUUAAGAGGCUAAGGGGGUUAAGCGUGCUUGGACUAGAAUAGUUCUAGGAUGGGUGACCCCUUUAGCUGGACGUCACGAAAGUAGUGACAAUUUAUAAAGUCCUUGAUAUUUUGAGGUGAUUGUGAAAUAGUUGCAUAAUCGUUCACCGGAUAAAAUGUCAAUUUCAAUGUCGGUUAUGAUUGCGUAAAUAGAUGCUAGAUCCUAUUCUGAUUGCUUGAUUUUGUAAUUGUAAUUGUACGGGAAGCAUUUGAAAUUUGUUAUCUCUUCCUCAGACAAAGAUUAUGAUGAUAUGGCAGUAUUUUUCUACGGCAAUUUCAAGUAUUGAUCAGCCUGGUCAUGAUUUGGUAAAUUUUGUCACAUUGUUUUGUACAAAAUGUAGCAUAUGGUGACACAAUUGAGGCUUUAAAGAAUUGGAAAAUUGUCUUGAUCUGUAGUGUUGAUACUAUCGCAUGCUCAUGAUAAUUGUUACUAUUUGCCUUAUCUUUAUCACCAUUUACUCAACAAAGACAAUGAAGUAAUUUUCCAAUUGAUCUUUUUUUUUUAAAAAAUAUUAUUUUCUUGUUUCUAGCAGUCCUAUUGUUAGAUAAGAGGAUAUUGGUAUUAUCUGUUGUAUAUGAGAUGUAGAGUUCGUUUCUUUUUUUCCUCCUUUCCUCUUGUAUGAGGAUGAAUGGGAAGAGUACCUAUGUGGACAAAUAGGUUCCUGUCACUUCACCUUUAUUACAAAUAGGUACACAUAUACUUAUGGUAUAUGUCGUAUGCAUAUAAAAUUCCUUGUUUAUUACCCUUUUACUUUUCAGGAUAAUGCUGUUUUGUAGUUUUUGCCAAAAUACAAUUUGUCAAUCAUGUUGAUCUUGAAGUUGCUUCUAUGGCGGCUAAUUUCUGACAGGCAAUUGUUUCAUUUCAUUUAUUGUUGUUAAUUUGUUAUCUCCAUGAGCAGUGGCAACAGUGUGAGGUCAUCUGAUUUUGGCAAUAAUGGUCUUUCUUGGUGGUUGGAGAAUUUUAGUUGGUCUAAGAGAACUAGAGAACUUUUUGAACUCUGCAAAUUGGCUUUUCAGAACUUUUAAAAUGUUUGAAGAAAAUGAAAAUUGUGGAUGGUUUGAUUUUUUUUCCGCGCGUUUCCACCAAUAAAAGGACCAGUAUAACCAGGUGGUGGAUGCUAUAGCAUUAUCCUUGGGUUUUUGGGCUUACCAGAGUACCUUUGGUUAAAAAGAUGGAGCAAACAAAGACUGUUACUGUACUUGUUAUAUACAGUCACUAGUCUCGUUUUUCCUGCCAUAGGAGGUAAGUAUUCUCAUAUUAUAUUAUGACAUUCUAUAUUUUGUCCUCACAAUAGUAUCUUUUACACUAUAGGAGGAAAAGUCGCUCUCCUUCUCCAAGUUGGCGUAAAAGCCGUUCUCUGACACCUAGGAGGCGUAAAAGCCGUUCGCCUUCGCCAAGACGAUACAGAAGGCGAAGAAGUAGGAGCAGCACGAACUCUCCUCUACCUAAUUCUCGGAGUCCUAGUCUUGGGUCCUCAGAGCGUAAAAAUGCUAUUGAGAAACAAAGGAAGGAAGAAGAAGAAAAGAAAAGGCUUUUACUGAAGGAAGGUACUGCUAUAGUUCCACUUGUUAUAUUUGAUGAUGCAAUUGGUGACACCUUUAUCUACUGUUGACCAGUUUGAAAACUCAUUUGUUUGGAUCUGGAAUCUUUAGAGAGGCGUCAAAAAGAAGCUGAAUUAAGAUUACUAGAAGAGGAAACUGCUAGGAGAAUUGAAGAAGCCAUUAGGAAGAGAGUUGAGGAGAGUUUGAACUCUGAGGAGAUCAAACUAGAGAUACAACAUCGAAUAGAGGAAGGCCGA
Ananas comosus (pineapple) is the source of this 3859-nucleotide RNA transcript. RefSeq lists it as uncharacterized. The transcript is spliced from 3 exons. Lineage: Eukaryota; Viridiplantae; Streptophyta; Magnoliopsida; Poales; Bromeliaceae. The record is from RefSeq and is a predicted model, not a curated record.